Molecule: long non-coding RNA, 159 nt
Organism: Pundamilia nyererei
Lineage: Eukaryota; Metazoa; Chordata; Actinopteri; Cichliformes; Cichlidae
Exons: 2
Source: RefSeq, a predicted model, not a curated record
GAUCAAUGAGUUCACCAGCUCUCUGGGCAUCGGAGUCUUUCACUCAGGGAUUGAGAUCUAUGGAAGAGAGUUUGCCUAUGGCGGACACCCGUACCCAUUCUCAGGGAUCUUUGAGAUUACACCAGGUGAUGCAACUGAGCUUGGCGAGACCUUUAAGUU